UUUAUUUUUUAUAAAAGAAAUGAAGAGUCUGUUGCUCGCAACAAUUUGUGGAAGUCCGCUUCUUCAAAUUACUGGUUGAGGUGUAGUUUUAUUUUGUAUCUUUUGUUGGUUUAUAAAUUUUACCAGUCAUUUAAAUUUGUUGUUUUUACACAAAAUGUGAACAAGUAUGUUUCGGUCUCAAUGAUUCCUACUGAUCUAAAUGAUUUUUAUUUUAUUUACUUACUUUUUUUUUUUGUUGAAGUUUUUAUUUCUAGUCAAUUUCUAGAUUAUAUUUCGGUUAUAAUUUAAUUUAAUUUAUAUUUACGAAAGACAUGAAGAGUCCUUUGCUUUUGGCUAUUUUUUAAGUGGUUCAUGAGAUAAUAUUUUGUAUUUUGUAAUUUUUGUUUGUUUAUAAUUAUAUUAGUAAUUUUUAAGUUGUUUAUUUUACAUAAAAUAUGAAUAAAUAGGUUUAUAUCUUUAUUCCUUCUAAUUUUUUUUACAACAGUCACGAAGAAAUUAAAUAUCUAACCUUUUAUUAAAAAAUAAAUAAAUAAAUAAAAAAGAAUAAUGGCAAAACUCUCUGCUUCAUUCUUCAUUACAUUAAUAAUGUUUUCCACGCUUUUCUAUGGUGUUUUAGGAUCGAACUCGUAAACUUGUCAAAUAGAUAUAAAUUAUCUAUUUGGUGGUUCAUUUUCUGGUGUGUGCGAGAGUGUAUGCGAAAGUGCAGCCGGUGGAGAUGUUUCGAUUGCUUCAGCUUAUCAUUCACGACAGCAGCGUAGAUAUCGUCGUAAUAAUGUUUACUUUUAUUAUUUCUUAUAUAAAUGACCUCAAUUUUCAAAGGCUACCAAUGUUUUGACUCCUAAUAAUAUGGUCAAUUGAUUUA
RNAcentral lists this long non-coding RNA (862 nucleotides) under Erythranthe guttata (spotted monkey flower). RNAcentral describes it as "long non-coding RNA (EGUT_LNC000261)". The record is from RNAcentral. Lineage: Eukaryota; Viridiplantae; Streptophyta; Magnoliopsida; Lamiales; Phrymaceae.